GAUGAACGCUGGCGGCGUGCCUAAUACAUGCAAGUCGAGCGAACAGACGAGGAGCUUGCUCCUCUGACGUUAGCGGCGGACGGGUGAGUAACACGUGGAUAACCUACCUAUAAGACUGGGAUAACUUCGGGAAACCGGAGCUAAUACCGGAUAAUAUAUUGAACCGCAUGGUUCAAUAGUGAAAGACGGUUUUGCUGACACUUAUAGAUGGAUCCGCGCCGCAUUAGCUAGUUGGUAAGGUAACGGCUUACCAAGGCGACGAUGCGUAGCCGACCUGAGAGGGUGAUCGGCCACACUGGAACUGAGACACGGUCCAGACUCCUACGGGAGGCAGCAGUAGGGAAUCUUCCGCAAAGGGCGAAAGCCUGACGGAGCAACGCCGCGUGAGUGAUGAAGGUCUUCGGAUCGUAAAACUCUGUUAUUAGGGAAGAACAAAUGUGUAAGUAACUAUGCACGUCUUGACGGUACCUAAUCAGAAAGCCACGGCUAACUACGUG
This 497-nucleotide ribosomal RNA is filed under the name uncultured bacterium. RNAcentral describes it as "partial 16S ribosomal RNA". It matches the Rfam family "Bacterial small subunit ribosomal RNA", at positions 28 to 507 of the family's 1533-position model. The record is from RNAcentral.